GGAUUAGAUACCCGGGUAGUCCUGGCAGUAAACGGUGUGCGCUUGGUGUGAGGGGAAUCGACCCCCCUCGUGCCGGAGCUAACGCGUUAAGCGCACCGCCUGGGAAGUACGGUCGCAAGACUAAAACUCAAAGAAAUUGACGGGGACCCGCACAAGCGGUGGAGUAUGUGGCUUAAUUCGAUGCAACGCGAAGAACCUUACCUGGGCUUGACAUGCAUCUCUAAGCACGUGAAAGCGUGUGACCCUUCGGGGAAUUUGCACAGGUGCUGCAUGGCCGUCGUCAGCUCGUGUCGUGAGAUGUUGGGUUAAGUCCCGCAACGAGCGCAACCCUUGUGAUUAGUUGCCAGCGGGUAAUGCCGGGAACUCUAGUCAGACUGCCCAGAUCAACUGGGAG
Molecule: ribosomal RNA, 394 nt
Filed under: uncultured bacterium
Lineage: Bacteria
Description: bacterial SSU rRNA
Rfam family: Bacterial small subunit ribosomal RNA
Source: RNAcentral